AAACCAACAGGGAUUGCCCUAGUAACGGCGAGUGAAGCGGCAACAGCUCAAAUUUGAAAUCUGGCCCUCGGGUCCGAGUUGUAAUUUGUAGAGGAUGUUUUUGGCGCGGUGCCUUCCGAGUUCCCUGGAACGGGACGCCUUAGAGGGUGAGAGCCCCGUACGGUUGGACACCAAGCCUCUGUAAAACUCCUUCGACGAGUCGAGUAGUUUGGGAAUGCUGCUCUAAAUGGGAGGUAAAUUUCUUCUAAAGCUAAAUAUUGGCCAGAGACCGAUAGCGCACAAGUAGAGUGAUCGAAAGAUGAAAAGCACUUUGAAAAGAGGGUUAAAUAGCACGUGAAAUUGUUGAAAGGGAAGCGUUUGCGACCAGACCUUUUCCUUGGGGAUCAUCCGGUGUUCUCACCGGUGCACUUCCCUUGGUUUAGGCCAGCAUCGGUUUUUGCAGGGGGAUAAAAACUUGAGGAAUGUAGCUCCUUCGGGAGUGUUAUAGCCUCUUGUAUAAUACCCUUGCGGGGACCGAGGACCGCGCUUCGGCAAGGAUGCUGGCAUAAUGGUCGUCAACGAC
RNAcentral lists this ribosomal RNA (562 nucleotides) under Xylaria aristata. RNAcentral describes it as "eukaryotic LSU rRNA". It matches the Rfam family "Eukaryotic large subunit ribosomal RNA", at positions 62 to 648 of the family's 3401-position model. Lineage: Eukaryota; Fungi; Ascomycota; Sordariomycetes; Xylariales; Xylariaceae. The record is from RNAcentral.